GGGAUAUUGCACAAUGGGCGAAAGCCUGAUGCAGCAACGCCGCGUGAGGGAAGACGGUUUUCGGAUUGUAAACCUCUGUCUUUGGUGAAGAAGGAAGUGACGGUAACCAAGGAGGAAGCCACGGCUAACUACGUGCCAGCAGCCGCGGUAAUACGUAGGUGGCAAGCGUUGUCCGGAAUUACUGGGUGUAAAGGGAGCGCAGGCGGGAUGGCAAGUUGGAUGUGAAAUACCGCAGCUCAACUGCGGAGCUGCAUCCAAAACUGUCGUUCUUGAGUGGAGUAGAGGUAGGCGGAAUUCCGAGUGUAGCGGUGAAAUGCGUAGAUAUUCGGAGGAACACCAGUGGCGAAGGCGGCCUACUGGGCUCUUACUGACGCUGAGGCUCGAAAGUGUGGGGAGCAAACA
RNAcentral lists this ribosomal RNA (402 nucleotides) under uncultured bacterium. RNAcentral's name for it is "bacterial SSU rRNA". It matches the Rfam family "Bacterial small subunit ribosomal RNA", at positions 358 to 774 of the family's 1533-position model. The record is from RNAcentral.